CAGAAUCAUCCAAACACAUGUGUUGGAAGUAAUCUUUGACAUGAAUUCGUAGAAAUGACAUGCGUCGCAAUCUGACGUGCUAGCCCUCCAGAUGUCCACAUCUGUAUUCUUACUUCCUGUGUCAAAUUUUGUUUUUUUGCCUGUGUAGCAUCAGUGUGAACAGUUGCAAGUUGUUCCAAGUACCUGUUGCUCUAGAUGCUGUCAGUUUCAUGUGCUCCUCUUUGUCUUCCCUUCUGGAUUUUAUUUCGUUCUCAUAGAUACCGCAGAACAUCACGCAUGGAUCAUCGCGCAACAUCAUCCCGUUUGGAAGUUUA
RNAcentral lists this long non-coding RNA (314 nucleotides) under Setaria italica (foxtail millet). RNAcentral describes it as "long non-coding RNA (SITA_LNC006143)". The record is from RNAcentral. Lineage: Eukaryota; Viridiplantae; Streptophyta; Magnoliopsida; Poales; Poaceae.